CCCCCCCCCCCCCCCGGUCCGUAUCAUCUCAGCUGAACUCCAACCAGAAGCAUCGAAUCCUCUCCGGACCAGUUUUUCCCCUUUUCCUCUGACUGUCAUUCCCUGCAAUAAAUAUCAUUUUACUGAU
Xiphophorus hellerii (green swordtail) is the source of this 127-nucleotide long non-coding RNA. RefSeq lists it as uncharacterized. The record is from RefSeq and is a predicted model, not a curated record. Lineage: Eukaryota; Metazoa; Chordata; Actinopteri; Cyprinodontiformes; Poeciliidae. The transcript is spliced from 2 exons.